RNAcentral lists this unclassified non-coding RNA (482 nucleotides) under Hevea brasiliensis (rubber tree). Lineage: Eukaryota; Viridiplantae; Streptophyta; Magnoliopsida; Malpighiales; Euphorbiaceae. The record is from RNAcentral.
GGGAAGCAAAGUAGUGGUGGAGGAGAUAAUGAAAAUUCUCAAGGAAGCUGAAUGGAAGCCGUCACUCUUCUGGAAAUCCCUUCCAACAGAGUUUGCAGAAGACUCGCCUUACGAUCUCAUUGCAGCUGAUGGCACAAAAACACUCAACGGGGCCGAUUGGAUCAUUCACCGAGAUAUUAUGUGGGAUUAGUCUUCUCAUCAACCUCCAUUUCGUCGCCCCCCUGUUGCAGCCAUCUUUCAGAAAUCACUUGCUCAACAAUGGCAGACAUGGAAAGAACUCCAUAGAAGGCAGAAGGAAUGUAGAGAAAUAUGCAGUUCUUGAUCUGUCAUUGUUGCAAUUGCAAGCAGUAGAUAAUUUUAGGACUAAGUGGAUAGAAUGUGCCAUGUGGUCUUAGAAAUUAAUAAUAUCAUUUGUGCUGCUUCAUUUCUGUAUUGAACUCCAUGCAGAGUCAGCAAGCAAGCUCAAUUGAUGUAGCCAAAAG